Ipomoea nil (Japanese morning glory) is the source of this 374-nucleotide long non-coding RNA. RefSeq lists it as uncharacterized. The record is from RefSeq and is a predicted model, not a curated record. The transcript has 3 exons. NCBI's taxonomy places the organism in Eukaryota, Viridiplantae, Streptophyta, Magnoliopsida, Solanales, Convolvulaceae.
ACUGGUAUCGAUUUACGGCAUCAAUUUGGAUAGAACAUUGUGUUCUUUUUUUCUCAUUUCUUAAAGAAUUCUCACCUCUUUACUUGUAAUUGUAAAAAUAGAUGAAAUCUAGAGCUUUUGAUUUGUCUCAUCGGUUAUUUACUGGUGAUGAUUGUUAGAAAUUGCGAAUCUUUUGACACCGAAGGGUUUUUUAAUUUUAAUUUUAAUUUUAAAAUUUCUAAAAUUUUUGUUUGUUUUUUUGGGUAUUGAUCCUUUAUGGAGGAGCUCUUGGUUAAGGUUAAGACGAUUUGUUUCAUAGCCAAGGAUUUCGAUUUUUUCUGAAAGGACUGACUGGGGGAAACUGAAAUUUCCAAAUCUUUUUGAAAUUUCCACAC